Erinaceus europaeus (western European hedgehog) is the source of this 56-nucleotide non-coding RNA. Lineage: Eukaryota; Metazoa; Chordata; Mammalia; Eulipotyphla; Erinaceidae. The record is from Rfam.
GCUCAGUUGGUAGAGCAUGAGACUCUAAAUCUCAGGGUCGUGGGUUCGUGCCCCAC